Neofelis nebulosa (Clouded leopard) is the source of this 667-nucleotide long non-coding RNA. RefSeq lists it as uncharacterized. The transcript has 3 exons. The record is from RefSeq and is a predicted model, not a curated record. NCBI's taxonomy places the organism in Eukaryota, Metazoa, Chordata, Mammalia, Carnivora, Felidae.
CCCUGGGAUGAGAGGCGUGGAUUUUACCCAAUAGGGUUUGAGAAGAACGGGGCGGCCCCCACUCACUGAGCUUGUCUUGGGAAAGCGGAAUGUUUGGAUGGUUAACGUGGAGAAAGAGGCGUGUUUGCGCCUGGUAUUAGGCCUCCGACUUUAAGGGAGGCUUGAGGGUCGGAAAUGAGAAGAAAGCAGGUUAAGGAAACAGAUCUUCAGCAAGGCCCUGGAGGACAGGAGUACUUGUAGUUUGAGAGACCGAGUCGUACUUUUCAUUUCUGCUGUUGAGGAAGCAAAAAUCUGCCCAGCCAUUCAUCAGGUAGAAGAAUGUGAGCUGUCACUGGGGAGGAACACAUUGGAUGCUUCAUCUGUACUGACUUCUCAGGGUGCUAGCCAUCCCAAACAACAAUGAAGCAAGAAACAAACUCUACCUUUGAUAAUACUAGAAGAUCUAUAUAACCUUGAAACUCAGUAAGUGAAGACAUAUAGCAGAUAGAAUGUUAACCUGAAAUGGUUGUGGGGGCACCUGGGUGGCUCAGUUGGUUGAGUGUCUGACUUCAGCUCAGGUCAUGAUCUCACAGCUUAUGAGUUCAAGCCCCCAUCGGGCUCUGUACUGACAGCUCAGAGCCUGGAGCCUGCUUUAGAUUCUGUGUCUCCCUCUCUGCCCCUCCCCCGC